UGUGGCUCAUGGGAACCACCCACAAUCAGCUGCCAGGCAGGUAGAACAUGUUAAAGGUGCAGCUGGAGAUUCCAAGGAAGGAGCUCAUUGACUGUGUCACAAGUGGCCACUAGGUGGGGACAGAGUAGCCUGAGGGCAGAGCCAGAGCUGGUCCAGGAAGGCCACUAGGCUGCAAUGAUGAAUAAAAAAUGGCUGGCUAGAACCUGGAAGAGAAGUGUGUUAAUGUGGUGAUCACCUUGAAGUUUAAUGUCAGCGUCCUCUGUUGAUAAAGGCCUGUGUGCCAGCUGGCAAAGGAGAAAUGCCUACAGGGUCUGGUUUCAGUAUUAACAAAGCUGCACAAGAAAGGGUGGAUUCAGAGCUGGGAGACAAUAAACUGGCAUAUUUACACUGUGUUCCAGUGCUCGGACCUGCUCCUUCCAAGAAGACAGGACGCCAGGAUGGCUGGGACUCCGCUUCCUGGGACACCAUGAUUUUUGUGAGCAGCAGACCUGAAGUGGUACAAGCCAUCGUGAAGGUACAGAGACAACAGAGGUAACUGAAAUACAAUCCUUGUUCUUGAGGGGCCAAUCUAGUGGGGAAAUACAUUUGUAAGGAGAGAUACUCCAAUGAAAUACGAUGCCUUCAGAGGAGAAUGCACAACCUGCCAUGAGAAACCAGAGGAGCAAGCAGCUGAUAUUCUAAUAAAAUUAAAGCUGGAGACAUUUUAAAAGUAGUAUAGCUCGCUUCUUCUUUUUACAGGUGAGAGAAUCCAGGUCCACACAAGGCAUGUGACUUGUUCAAGGUCACAGCACGUUUGUGGCAGAGCCGGGUAUACAACUCAGAACUCGAUUUCCAGCUUGUUGCUUUGUCACACAGAACAUGUGACAGGGAUUGAAAAAGGAAGGAAAAAAGAUUUUGCAUCAAACGGGACACAAAGCUGGAAUGAGAGUAGCUGCAUCUAGAUGCUGGAAGAGAGUCCUGGAGCUGUAGGAAUCCGGGGGUGGCCUGGUGCAGGCAGAGCCCCAUGUCUGCUCUGUAAUUGGGAGCUUGAGUCCAGUUCAUGCUCUGACGGUCCCCACACCCUUUCAGAAAGUAGAUUUUCUGCCUCAGAAGCCAAGCUUAAGGGGGAGUUCUGCUGAGACAAUUCAGUCUAAGGAAGGACUUGGCCUAGGGAGAGAGCUAGGAGGAGGAAAAAGUAUGUCCUUGAUGUUGGAAACCACUAGGAAAGGCAUUGAGGACUUUGACCAUGCCAGGGAGCUUGCAGUGUGAGAUAAAACUGUGUUUGAACCUGAGGUGGAAGCAUCAUUUUCCUGUGAUCCCAAUUAAAGCUUUGGAGGAUGCUGCUCUUUAGCAAAUGUCUGGGAAUUAUCCAUGCCUAAGGAAUUGUCUUCAGAGACCCUCACCAGGAACCUAAAGAAGCUCCCUGUCUCCCUCCCCUACUGAGAGAGCCCAGGGAACUCCUGAGGCCAGAGGGUAGGAGGGGAGGCAAAAGUCCAUGUGGGUGCCUUUGCGAGGGUGCAGGUGGCUCUCAGAUUAGCCUCAGAAAUCCUCUCUAUCCCACUGAUGUUUAAAUUACACUGAAUAUUUUAAACCUCAGAGCAGAAGAGGGGAAGCAGCCUAAUCACUUGGGUGUUGGAAAUAUAAGGAAAACCAGCCAUAAUCACCCACCUACCUCCUAAUCUCCUACCUUUGGUUCCACUAUUAGAGCAUAUUGACAAUUCAGGAGUCUCAUUUUUUGGUUUAUAGGGAAAAUGAUGAGAGUUGAGUUGAUCCUGAAAGGAGCAACAAAACAAAGACGUGUUGCGUGGCCGCCUAACUGCAUGAAGGAGUGCAGCUUUCUGAAGGGGGUUUCCAGUCCUGUCACCUUUUUCCCCCAAACCAAUCAGGAGCAGAGGCUCUCAACAAAAUGAGAAUCUUUUUACUUUUUUUUUUUUGUUUAAUCUUCAGACUAGAGUUUAAGGUCAGAGUCUCAUUAUUAGUAUUGACCCAAUUAUUUAUCUUAUUUAAGAAAAUAGUGUUUAAUAGGAUAAAUAAAAAGAUGUCUCUGGCUAGGUUUUGCUCACUCUUGUCAGGACUGCCUCUUAUUCUUGCUAUAUUUUAAGUCAAAACAUACUCAUUCUCUGAGUCUUAAAGGCAGUAUUAAUAUGAUUUCUGUUUCCUUUUUCCUAAGGGGGAAAAUAAACUGAAACAAAGUCCUUUUGGGAAAAUGCCCAUUUAAAAAAAAGUUUAGUUGUUUUGGAUACAUAGUAGGUGUGUGUAUCUAUGGGUUACAUGGGAUAUUUUGAUACAGGAACACUAUAUGUAAUAAUCACAUCAGGGUAAAUUGGGUACCCAUCACCUCAAGCAUUUAUCGUUUGUUUAAGCCAGCAUCUACUUAACAAUUCCUCGUCUCCCAAGGCUACAUAAUUACAGUGAGAACUUUAAGAAAUCUAUGUUUACGUGUGUUCUUUUGGCUUAAAUCCCCUUCCUCAUUAAAAAGGCAAAGAGGGCACAGCUGUUUGCCUUCAGCACUCUCCUCUCUAUAUCCAACCACAUUUAGGGCAGCUUUCCAUGGCUUUUAAAAUUCCUUUCUCCUUUCAGUCUGCUCCUCUAUAUCCUGAUUGCCAUAGAGAAAUAAAUAUGUGGCAGAGUCCUGUGCUUUUGCAAUUCCAAGGAAACCUACAGAGCGAGGCUGUGAAACUGAUGUUCCGUUUUACCGGGGCAUUAUCAAACAUGUUGGGUGCAAAAGGGCACCUUUUAGCCUUUUCUUAAAUUUGCAUGACCUGUAUUGUCUACGCAGAUUAUGAAUGAGCCUGAGGAGUCUGCACGUCUAACUUGUCAUCAUCCCAGAAAAAUCAAAAUGUGUAGGUAAAAUGAGCACAAGAUUUGGAAAAGCGAGGUACUUGGAUGCAAGAGAACAAACUCUUAGCCCUUUUGAGCAUGAGUGCUUCAGCUGCAGAACAGGAUUGAGACUCCUCACCUGAAUUGGAGAGGAUUCACUCUGAAAUGAAAGCUAGCUAGAUAAAAGCUCCUUGCAAAGGUAAAGAAAGGUGGUGAUUUAAAGCUGGCUGAUGCUGAAUUAUGGAGGAGCUCUUUGGAAAUUCUUUUUUAUCUAUAUAAAUGACAGAAAUUUAGUGUGAUCCAUGUGGCUAGCACAUGUCACAUAUCGUCUGCUGGCACUGAUGCCUCACCUCUUCCUUAAUUUUCUGCUUCUUUUUUUCAAUUAAAGCCCUUUGUCCACUCUUCAGCCUCUGAAUCUUCUCAGCAAUUCUUUCCUCUAGUUUUAGUGGAUUUCCCAGGGGAAGAGCUCGAGCAACCCAGCAGAAUGUGUCUAAGAGCGCUCUGACUCUUCCAGGGAACGAUUCCUCAUUCCCAAAUCUGUUGCUAGAGAUAAGCAAGAGAUUAUACAUUCCUGAGACCUGGG
This 3382-nucleotide long non-coding RNA is filed under the name Papio anubis (olive baboon). RNAcentral's name for it is "lncRNA (ENSPANG00000049204.1)". Lineage: Eukaryota; Metazoa; Chordata; Mammalia; Primates; Cercopithecidae. The record is from RNAcentral.